This 540-nucleotide ribosomal RNA is filed under the name uncultured Cytophagales bacterium. Its description in RNAcentral is "bacterial SSU rRNA". It matches the Rfam family "Bacterial small subunit ribosomal RNA", at positions 355 to 896 of the family's 1533-position model. Lineage: Bacteria; Pseudomonadati; Bacteroidota; Sphingobacteriia; Sphingobacteriales. The record is from RNAcentral.
UAGGGAAUAUUGGGCAAUGGACGCAAGUCUGACCCAGCCAUGCCGCGUGCAGGAUGAAGGCGUUAUGCGUUGUAAACUGCUUUUAUACAGGAAGAAACGACUCUUGCGAGAGGCAUUGACGGUACUGUAUGAAUAAGCACCGGCUAACUCCGUGCCAGCAGCCGCGGUAAUACGGAGGGUGCAAGCGUUAUCCGGAUUCACUGGGUUUAAAGGGUGCGUAGGCGGGCAGGUAAGUCAGUGGUGAAAUCCUGGAGCUCAACUCCAGAACUGCCAUUGAUACUAUCUGUCUUGAAUAUUGUGGAGGUAAGCGGAAUAUGUCAUGUAGCGGUGAAAUGCUUAGAUAUGACAUAGAACACCCAUUGCGAAGGCAGCUUACUACGCAUAUAUUGACGCUGAGGCACGAAAGCGUGGGGAUCAAACAGGAUUAGAUACCCUGGUAGUCCACGCCCUAAACGAUGGAUACUCGACAUACGCGAUACACUGUGUGUGUCUGAGCGAAAGCAUUAAGUAUCCCACCUGGGAAGUACGUUCGCAAGAAUG